GCAUACGACAACAAUGAUAUUCGAAAAGUUGUUUCUUAAACUCCGCCCUCGUAAAACAACCACUCCUUGGCUGCUACAGCUGCUGGAAGCGACACAGGUGUCAGUACGCUUAUUAGCGUAGACCCACAAAAAAUGAUCUUCCUCCGAGAGUUGUAUCUUUGAGCGUCAAAAGCAUGUAUCUGUUGUGAUGGGAUUCGACACCACUGACGCCCCAUUUGGUCCAUUUCCAGCGUGUAUCUGAUCUGUAAAAAAUGAAGUGAAGCAAUAAAUAUGAAGGCCAAAUUAGUAAGAUGACAAAAUGCAGAUAAACUGAAAACUGUAUGAACAAACUUGCUAACCUACCUGGGAUUUCUUGACAAACUAAGCAACUAGGAUGGACGGCUUUAUUCGAGAAGAUCGAACAAGGACUGAAGUAGCUGAAGGUCUGAAUACUCAUAAAUAAGAAAACAAUCUAGAUAAGCAGAACAAAUUUUUCGUGGUUGUAGCCUGUGGUGGACUUAGGUCUGAAACAAUGAAUACUAAAUUAAGACUGAACAGUGAAUACUAACUAACCUACCUAUGUGGUAACACACAAAACUGAACAAAAUGACACCUAACACUGAAACUAAUAACAUAACUAAAAAUGACACUAACCCCUGAGAGUACUUAAAAUGACACUAGUGUGGGAGAACUUGUUGAGUAAGUGUGGGACAACUUUGGCUCGGAGAUGUGAAAUAUAACAUACAGGUACAAAAAUAAAGGUAAGAAAAUGAUCAGGACUCAUUGGAAAAUGACAGGGUGAGUAAGCACUAGGGACUCAGACUGAUUGACUAAAAACUGAUAGACUAAAAAAGGAAAUGAAUGCAACAAGUAAUGACUAAAUGAGAAAAAGAAAUCGAAGAAAAAGCUAAAGUUUAUAUAAUUCUAUCAGCUAAAAGGACUAAGUUUGUAUCUGAAGUAGGAAAAAACUGAAUUCAUACACAAACUAAAGAAGAAAUGAAAUGUUUAACUGAACAGGACAACUAUCAUGUUAUCAUAAAACAUACAUGGAGGUGUUGGUAAUAUCCACAUCAUAGCCUUGUAAAAAUGAGUGAUGAAUGAAAAAUGAAACAUAACAAGAACUAGAUUGUAGUGAUAAUUGAAUAGCUGACCAUGACAGUGAACUAGACUAUAGUGAUAAAGAAAAAUUUGAAACAGAACUAUAGUGAUAAAUUGAACAUAUUCAAAACUAAGUUAC
RNAcentral lists this long non-coding RNA (1216 nucleotides) under Triticum aestivum (bread wheat). Its description in RNAcentral is "long non-coding RNA (TAES_LNC014966)". The record is from RNAcentral. Lineage: Eukaryota; Viridiplantae; Streptophyta; Magnoliopsida; Poales; Poaceae.